GGGGAAUAUUGCAAAAUGGGCGAAAGCCCGAUGCAGCAACGCCGCGUGGGCGAUGAAGGCCUUCGGGUCGUAAAGCCCUUUUUGAGGGGAUGAGGAAGGACAGUACCCUCAGAAUAAGCCUCGGCUAACUACGUGCCAGCAGCCGCGUUAGAACGUAGGAGGCGAGCGUUAUCCGGAUUUACUGGGCGUCAGGCGCGUGCAGGCGGAUUGGAGAGUUGGAUGUGAAAGCUCCCGGCCUAACUGGGAGAGGUCGUUCAAUACUUCCAGUCUUGGGUGCAGUAGAGGGAAGUGGAAUUCCGGGUGUAGUGGUGAAAUGCGUAGAUAUCCGGAGGAACACCAGUGGCGAAAGCGGCUUCCUGGACUGUAACUGACGCUCAGACGCGAAAGCUAGGGUAGCAAACG
Molecule: ribosomal RNA, 402 nt
Filed under: uncultured bacterium
Lineage: Bacteria
Description: bacterial SSU rRNA
Rfam family: Bacterial small subunit ribosomal RNA
Source: RNAcentral